UACGUAGGGGGCAAGCGUUUGUCCGGAUUUAUUGGGCGUAAAGAGCUCGUAGGCGGUUUGGUAAGUCUGGUGUGAAAUCUCCACGCUCAACGUGGAGGGGCCACCCGAUACUGCCAUGACUGGAGUCCGGUAGAGGAGUGUGGAAUUCCUGGUGUAGCGGUGAAAUGCGCAGAUAUCAGGAGGAACACCAGCGGCGAAGGCGGCGCUCUGGGCCGGUACUGACACUGAGGAGCGAAAGCGUGGGGAGCAAACAGG
This 255-nucleotide ribosomal RNA is filed under the name uncultured bacterium. RNAcentral's name for it is "partial 16S ribosomal RNA". It matches the Rfam family "Bacterial small subunit ribosomal RNA", at positions 524 to 776 of the family's 1533-position model. The record is from RNAcentral.